Molecule: ribosomal RNA, 228 nt
Filed under: Triticum aestivum (bread wheat)
Lineage: Eukaryota; Viridiplantae; Streptophyta; Magnoliopsida; Poales; Poaceae
Description: partial small subunit ribosomal RNA
Source: RNAcentral
AUGAUCUGGCAUGUACAUAAUGAAAACUUAAUUCUCGAUUCUACGAGAAUUUUUAUGAAAGCGUUUCAUUUGCUUCUCUUCAAUGGAAGUUUCAUUUUCCCAGAAUGUAUCCUAAUUUUUGGCCUAAUUCUUAUUCUAAUGAUCGAUUCAACAUCUGAUCAAAAAGGUAGACCUUGGUUCUAUUUCAUCUCUUCAACAUGUUUAGUAAUAAGCAUAACGGCCCUAUUG